This 787-nucleotide ribosomal RNA is filed under the name Bacillus velezensis. RNAcentral's name for it is "bacterial SSU rRNA". It matches the Rfam family "Bacterial small subunit ribosomal RNA", at positions 52 to 819 of the family's 1533-position model. The record is from RNAcentral. Lineage: Bacteria; Bacillati; Bacillota; Bacilli; Caryophanales; Bacillaceae.
UACAUGCAAGUCGAGCGGACAGAUGGGAGCUUGCUCCCUGAUGUUAGCGGCGGACGGGUGAGUAACACGUGGGUAACCUGCCUGUAAGACUGGGAUAACUCCGGGAAACCGGGGCUAAUACCGGAUGGUUGUCUGAACCGCAUGGUUCAGACAUAAAAGGUGGCUUCGGCUACCACUUACAGAUGGACCCGCGGCGCAUUAGCUAGUUGGUGAGGUAACGGCUCACCAAGGCGACGAUGCGUAGCCGACCUGAGAGGGUGAUCGGCCACACUGGGACUGAGACACGGCCCAGACUCCUACGGGAGGCAGCAGUAGGGAAUCUUCCGCAAUGGACGAAAGUCUGACGGAGCAACGCCGCGUGAGUGAUGAAGGUUUUCGGAUCGUAAAGCUCUGUUGUUAGGGAAGAACAAGUGCCGUUCAAAUAGGGCGGCACCUUGACGGUACCUAACCAGAAAGCCACGGCUAACUACGUGCCAGCAGCCGCGGUAAUACGUAGGUGGCAAGCGUUGUCCGGAAUUAUUGGGCGUAAAGGGCUCGCAGGCGGUUUCUUAAGUCUGAUGUGAAAGCCCCCGGCUCAACCGGGGAGGGUCAUUGGAAACUGGGGAACUUGAGUGCAGAAGAGGAGAGUGGAAUUCCACGUGUAGCGGUGAAAUGCGUAGAGAUGUGGAGGAACACCANCGGCGAAGGCGACUCUCUUNNNNGUCACUGACUCUGAUGAGCGAAAGAGUGGGGAGNGAACAAANACUAUAUACCCUGCGUGGUCCUCCCCCCCAUCAAUAAGUGAUUG